Pantherophis guttatus is the source of this 223-nucleotide non-coding RNA. The record is from RefSeq and is a predicted model, not a curated record. Lineage: Eukaryota; Metazoa; Chordata; Lepidosauria; Squamata; Colubridae.
UCCGUUGGACGAUGGAUCUGACCUUGACCAACGGGGACUGCAGCGACUCGGACCCUGCCCCCGAGGAGAACGAUGCUGCAGACGCCAGCCAGGCGGAAAGUGUGACCUCUGGGAUAAAGGAGGAGGAGGAAGAGGAGGCUGAUGACAUCCCCAAGCAAGUCCGAGAGGUCCCGGUGCGAGGAAACGCUGGCUGGGAGAACAGCCUGAGGCAGAAACCAGCACC